Molecule: non-coding RNA, 73 nt
Organism: Dipodomys ordii (Ord's kangaroo rat)
Lineage: Eukaryota; Metazoa; Chordata; Mammalia; Rodentia; Heteromyidae
Source: Rfam
AGGAAUGUGGCUUAGUGGUAGAGUGCUUGCCUAGAAUGCAUGAAGCCCUGGGUUCGAUUUCUCAGUAAUGCAU